This 292-nucleotide ribosomal RNA is filed under the name uncultured bacterium. Its description in RNAcentral is "partial 16S ribosomal RNA". It matches the Rfam family "Bacterial small subunit ribosomal RNA", at positions 775 to 1067 of the family's 1533-position model. The record is from RNAcentral.
GGAUUAGAUACCCUGGUAGUCCACGCCGUAAACGAUGGAUACUAGGUGUUGCGGGUAACCACUCCUGCAGUGCCGUAGCUAACGCAUUAAGUAUCCCGCCUGGGGAGUACGGCCGCAAGGCUAAAACUCAAAGGAAUUGACGGGGGCCCGCACAAGCGGUGGAGCAUGUGGUUUAAUUCGACGCAACGCGAAGAACCUUACCUGGGCUAGAAUGUUUCUGCAACCUCGAGAAAUCGGGGGUUCCUUCGCGACAGAAUACAAGGUGUUGCAUGGCUGUCGUCAGCUCGUGCUG